RNAcentral lists this non-coding RNA (24 nucleotides) under Drosophila erecta. Lineage: Eukaryota; Metazoa; Arthropoda; Insecta; Diptera; Drosophilidae. RNAcentral also lists the same sequence under 7 other names. The record is from RNAcentral.
CCGUAGGUGAACCUGCGGAAGGAU